Molecule: transfer RNA, 72 nt
Filed under: Necator americanus (New World hookworm)
Lineage: Eukaryota; Metazoa; Nematoda; Chromadorea; Rhabditida; Ancylostomatidae
Rfam family: tRNA
About the family: Transfer RNA (tRNA) molecules are approximately 80 nucleotides in length. Their secondary structure includes four short double-helical elements and three loops (D, anti-codon, and T loops). Further hydrogen bonds mediate the characteristic L-shaped molecular structure. tRNAs have two regions of fundamental functional importance: the anti-codon, which is responsible for specific mRNA codon recognition, and the 3' end, to which the tRNAs corresponding amino acid is attached (by aminoacyl-tRNA synthetases). tRNAs cope with the degeneracy of the genetic code in two manners: having more than one tRNA (with a specific anti-codon) for a particular amino acid; and 'wobble' base-pairing, i.e. permitting non-standard base-pairing at the 3rd anti-codon position.
Source: Rfam by way of RNAcentral
GAUCGAUUGGCGCAAUGGUAGCGCGCUCGACUCCAGAUAGAAAGGUUAGGUGUUCGAUCCGCCCAGUGGUCA